Molecule: ribosomal RNA, 441 nt
Filed under: uncultured Allobrachymonas sp.
Lineage: Bacteria; Pseudomonadati; Pseudomonadota; Betaproteobacteria; Burkholderiales; Comamonadaceae
Description: bacterial SSU rRNA
Rfam family: Bacterial small subunit ribosomal RNA
Source: RNAcentral
UGAUGUGGUUUAAUUCGAUGCAACGCGAAAACCUUACCCACCUUUGACAUGGCAGGAAUCCUAAGAGAUUGGGAGUGCUCGAAAGAGAACCUGCACACAGGUGCUGCAUGGCUGUCGUCAGCUCGUGUCGUGAGAUGUUCGGGUUAAGUCCCGCAACGAGCGCAACCCUUGCCAUUAGUUGCUACGAAAGGGCACUCUAAUGGGACUGCCGGUGACAAACCGGGAGGAAGGUGGGGAUGACGUCAAGUCCUCAUGGCCCUUAUAGGUGGGGCUACACACGUCAUACAAUGGCCGGUACAGAGGGUAGCCAACCCGCGAGGGGGAGCCAAUCCCACAAAGACCGGUCGUAGUCCGGAUCGCAGUCUGCAACUCGACUGCGUGAAGUCGGAAUCGCUAGUAAUCGCGGAUCAGCAUGUCGCGGUGAAUACGUUCCCGGGCCUU